GGCUUGCAUUGUUCGUUUUACACCUAGCACGGGCUUGUCCGUUUCUUUUCCCUUUGAAAGAAGUUUUCGUUCCAAGAAAUUUACACUGAAAGGAAAUUCCUGGAGAGGAAUCUGAUGUCAGCGGAGGAAGCUUUUAGAUUUUCUUCCUUUCGGUGGGAUGGUCCUUGGAGCCAGCCCCAGGAUGCUCCCCGGCUGUGGAUGACCCAGCCGCCAGCCCCCUACGGAUGCCGCGCCCCAGUCUUCUGACCCGGGG
This 253-nucleotide long non-coding RNA is filed under the name Bos mutus (wild yak). Its description in RNAcentral is "lncRNA (ENSBMUG00000002271.1)". The record is from RNAcentral. Lineage: Eukaryota; Metazoa; Chordata; Mammalia; Artiodactyla; Bovidae.